RNAcentral lists this unclassified non-coding RNA (342 nucleotides) under Klebsiella pneumoniae subsp. pneumoniae. RNAcentral's name for it is "partial 16S-23S ribosomal RNA intergenic spacer". The stretch from base 238 to 335 matches the Rfam family "Salmonella enterica Typhi npcRNA 44". Lineage: Bacteria; Pseudomonadati; Pseudomonadota; Gammaproteobacteria; Enterobacterales; Enterobacteriaceae. The record is from RNAcentral.
CCUUAAAGAACCUGCCUUUGCAGUGCUCACACAGAUUGUCUGAUGAACGUAAAGAAGCAAGGCGUCUUGCGAUUGAGACUUCAGUGUCCCCUUCGUCUAGAGGCCCAGGACACCGCCCUUUCACGGCGGUAACAGGGGUUCGAAUCCCCUAGGGACGCCACUUGCUGGUUCGUGAGUGAAAGACGCGUGCCGAACUAUCUCAAAACUCAUCUUCGGGUGACGUUUGAGAUAUUUGCUCUUUAAAAAUCUGGAUCAAGCUGAAAAUUGAAACGACACACAGUCAAUGUGUGUUCGAGUCUCUCAAAUUUUCGCAAUCAGAAGUGAAACAUCUUCGGGUUGUGA